UGACGGUAGCUGACCAGAAAGCCACGGCUAACUACGUGCCAGCAGCCGCGGUAAUACGUAGGUGGCAAGCGUUGUCCGGAUUUAUUGGGCGUAAAGCGAGCGCAGGCGGUGAUUUAAGUCUGAUGUGAAAGCCCCCAGCUCAACUGGGGAGGGUCAUUGGAAACUGGAUCACUUGAGUGCAGAAGAGGAGAGUGGAAUUCCAUGUGUAGCGGUGAAAUGCGUAGAUAUAUGGAGGAACACCAGUGGCGAAGGCGGCUCUCUGGUCUGUAACUGACGCUGAGGCUCGAAAGCGUGGGUAGCAAACAGGAUUAGAUACCCUGGUAGUCCACGCCGUAAACGAUGAGUGCUAAGUGUUGGAGGGUUUCCGCCCUUCAGUGCUGCAGUUAACGCAUUAAGCACUCCGCCUGGGGAGUACGACCGCAAGGUUGAAACUCAAAGGAAUUGACGGGGGCCCGCACAAGCGGUGGAGCAUGUGGUUUAAUUCGAAGCAACGCGAAGAACCUUACCAGGUCUUGACAUCCUUUGACCGCCCUAGAGAUAGGGUUUCCCCUUCGGGGGCAAAGUGACAGGUGGUGCAUGGUUGUCGUCAGCUCGUGUCGUGAGAUGUUGGGUUAAGUCCCGUAACGAGCGCAACCCUUAUUGUUAGUUGCCAGCAUUGAGUUGGGCACUCUAGCAAGACUGCCGGUGACAAACCGGAGGAAGGCGGGGAUGACGUCAAAUCAUCAUGCCCCUUAUGACCUGGGCUACACACGUGCUACAAUGGGAAGUACAACGAGCAAGCCAAGCCGCAAGGCCUAGCGAAUCUCUGAAAGCUUCUCUCAGUUCGGAUUGCAGGCUGCAACUCGCCUGCAUGAAGCCGGAAUCGCUAGUAAUCGCGGAUCAGCAUGCCGCGGUGAAUCCGUUCCCGGGCCUUGUACACACCGCCCGUCACACCACGAGAGUUUGUAACACCCAAAGUCGGUGCGGCAACCCUUAGGGGAGCCAGCCGCCUAAGGUGGGACGAAUGAUUGGGGUGAAGUCGUAACAAGGUAGCCGUAUCGGAAGGUGCGGCUGGAUCACCUCCUUU
RNAcentral lists this ribosomal RNA (1066 nucleotides) under Tetragenococcus halophilus subsp. halophilus. RNAcentral's name for it is "bacterial SSU rRNA". It matches the Rfam family "Bacterial small subunit ribosomal RNA", at positions 470 to 1533 of the family's 1533-position model. Lineage: Bacteria; Bacillati; Bacillota; Bacilli; Lactobacillales; Enterococcaceae. The record is from RNAcentral.